CACCUUGACAACACCCCCUGCAACACCUAUGUUACUCGAUGUGGCUAUGCUAGCCUCUAUGGUGAUAAACACCAUGUCAAGUACAUGAACUGGACCCGGGGGCGGUACCCGGCGCCUCCACCACCUCGCCCGUCGCCAAAAAAAGCAACGGACAAAUACGGGGGCGAAAUAGGAUCGACAGGCAUGGAAAAACAUGGCUUUUACCCGAAAGUGGUUCCGUCGUUAAUAAGAACCAACUCACAAGUGCCAACGACAAUGUUGCACUCGCUGCUUAACUUUUGAGCAAGCGCGGCCCGAGGAGCGCCGGGCAACAGAAGCUCCUCACC
Molecule: transfer-messenger RNA, 326 nt
Filed under: Alphaproteobacteria bacterium GM202ARS2
Lineage: Bacteria; Pseudomonadati; Pseudomonadota; Alphaproteobacteria
Rfam family: Alphaproteobacteria transfer-messenger RNA
About the family: Bacterial tmRNA, also known as 10Sa RNA or SsrA, is named for its dual tRNA and mRNA-like properties. Its role is to liberate the mRNA from a stalled ribosome.
Source: RNAcentral